RNAcentral lists this ribosomal RNA (1962 nucleotides) under Triticum aestivum (bread wheat). RNAcentral describes it as "partial small subunit ribosomal RNA". Lineage: Eukaryota; Viridiplantae; Streptophyta; Magnoliopsida; Poales; Poaceae. The record is from RNAcentral.
AUGCAGUACUUAAUGGAGAAAAUGUCCUCGUCGGAUGCACCGCCUAUGUGUUUCGAUAUGUUAAAAACAAUCACAGAUGAUUUUUCGGAAAACAUGAAAAUUGGUAUUGGUGGCUAUGGAGAAGUUUACAAGGGAUUACUUAAUGGAGAAGAAAUAGCUGUGAAGAAGCUUUUUCCCAUCCAUGGAAUUGAUGAUGAGGCAUUGGAAAAUGAAUUUCGUAACCUCAAGAAGGUUCGGCAUAAAAAUGUCAUACGGAUGAUUGGUUACUGCUAUGAGAUAUCAUGUAGAGAUGUGGAAUACAAGGGACAAUUAAUUUGGUCUCAAGUAAUAGAAAGGGCACUCUGCUUUGAAUAUAUGAAGGGAGGAAGCCUUGCCAAGCAUAUUUCUGACGACUCAUGCAUACAUGAUUGGCGGACAACCUACAAAAUAAUCACUGGGACUUGCGAGGGCCUGCACCACCUUCACAAAGGAGGAGAACGUAAGCUUUUCCAUCUGGACCUAAAGCUGGAAAAUGUAUUGCUGGAUGAAGAAUUGGUACCCAAAAUAGGAGAUUUUGGUUUACCCCAGCUCUUUGGUAGUUCAUAUACCCACCAAAUAAGCUUUAUGAGGAGAACAAUUGGGUUCAUGCCACAAGAAUACAAAGACAGUCGUGGGGUGUCACCAAAGACUGACGUGUUCAGUCUCGGAGUCAUAAUUUUCCACAUGAUGGCUGGGAAAAAGGGCUAUGACGAUUAUUGGGACGCGCGUCAUCGUCCGAAUUUUUCCCCAAAAAUUCAACAAGAGUUUAUUGAGAGUGUACAAGAAUAUUGGAAGACAAAUAUGCAGACAUCCCAAGGUUAUAGAUGGGACAGAACAGACCUGCUAGGAGUAACGACAUGUAUUCAAUUGGCAAUGCAAUGUGUGGAGGAUGAACGAGACAAAAGACCUUACGUAAGAGAAAUCAUGGGUGAGCUCAAGGAACUAGAUUCUAAGAUGGAGCAGAUGUUAAAGGAAGAUCCGAAACCACCUAUACACAAGCUGUUUUACCAAGGGCUUGCUGAAGCUGAAAGCAUGCAUGCUACUGAGCUGAGGGCAAUGACGUUCGAGGAACUCCAUCGCAUGACAGAUGGUUUCUCUGAAAAGCAAUUACUUGGCACGGGUGGGUAUGGAAGGGUUUACAAGGGAGUACUUGAUAACGGGGAAGUGAUUGCCGUGAAGAAACUGUACAACCAGCCCGGACUAGUCGAAGCUGGUUUUAAGAAUGAGCUUCUGAAUCUUAUGAGGGCCCAACAUCAAAAUAUCAUAAGAUUGGUUGGCUACUGCUAUGAAAUACGAGAUAAAGUUGUUGAGUACCAAGGGAGAUUUGUUGUUGCUGACGAGCAAGAAAUAGCUCUAUGUUUGGAAUACAUGCAGGGUGGAACCCUUGAGGAGCUUCUUUCCGAUGAAUUAAUAAGUUGGGAGGCACGUUACAGAAUAAUUAAAGGGAUAUGUCAGGGUUUAAAGCAUCUUCACACGGGAUCCAAAGAUCCUAUUUACCAUCUGGACUUAAAACCUGCAAACAUAUUGCUGGAUAAGGACCUGAUACCAAAAAUUGGAGAUUUUGGCUUGUCAAGACUUCUUGGUUCAAUGGGAACAUUUGUCACAAAAACAAAUUCAGGAACACGUAUAUACAUGCCACCAGAGUACACGUACGGGCUACAAAUCUCCUCGAAGUUUGAUGUGUUCAGCCUGGGUAUUAUAAUCAUACAAGUAAUAGCAGGAGCAGAGGGCUACUACAAUUUCAAAUGUGUAUAUAAGUCUCCCAAGGAAUUCGUUGAACAUGUUACCGGAAACUGGUCCAGCCGGGUGCAGGCAAAUGCAAUGUCGACGGAAGCAUUACUGGAGGUUCAGAAAUGCAUCGAGAUGGCGUUAAGAUGUGUGGAGGACGAUCGAGCAAAGAGGCCCAGUAUAACCGAGAUUGUCGAAGAACUCAAUAUGACUUAG